GACGAAGCGAAAUAUGGCGGACGGCGGAUGCCUAGGCUUCCGGAGGCGAUGAAGGACGCGGCAAGCUGCGAAAAUGCGCGAGGAGCUGCAAGCGGGCUUAGAUACGCGCGUGUCCGAAUGGGGCAACCCGGCCGGCAGGCGGCCGGCCACCGGCUAUAAGCCGGGGCGAACGCGGGGAACCGAAACAUCCCAGUACCCGCAGGAGGAGAAAGAAAAGAUCGAUGGCCCGAGUAGCGGCGAGCGAAAAGGCCGGAGCCCAAACCGAGUGUGUCGAGGCACAUUCGGGGUAGUAGGGCUGCGCCGAGAUUACAGGUUGAGGGAACCGGAACGGCAUGGAAAUGCCGGGCGAAGAGGGUGACACCCCCGUACGGGCAACCGGGGCCUGUAAGGAGCAGUACCUGAGUAGGGCGGGACACGAGGAAUCCUGUCCGAAGCAGCGGGGACCGACCCGCAAGGCUAAAUACUCCCGGAAGACCGACAGUGGACCAGUACCGUGAGGGAAAGGUGGGAAGCACCCCGGAAGGGGAGUGAAAUAGAACCUGAAACCGUCCGUCAGCGAGCGGUCGGAGCCCGGAAGGGCGACGGCGUGCCUUUUGCAUAAUGAGCCUACGAGUUGCGCCUGAGCGGCGAGGAUAAGCGCUUGAGGCGCGGAUCCGGAGCGAGAGCGAGUCUGAAUAGGGCGUAAGAGUCGCUUGGGGCAGACGCGAAACCCGGUGAUCUACCCUUGGCCAGGCUGAAGGGGCCGUAACAGGUCCUGGAGGGCCGCACCGGUUUACGUUGAAAAGUGCUCGGAUGAGCUGAGGGUAGGGGUGAAAGGCCAAUCAAACCGGGAGAUAGCUCGUACUCCCCGAAAUGCCUUUAGGGGCAGCCUCGCCAUAGCACCGCGGAGGUAGAGCUACUGACAGGAUGCGAGGGCUUCACCGCCUGUCAAAUCCUGACAAACUCCGAAUGCCGCGGGAGUGAUUGGCGGGAGUGAGUCGUCGGGUGCUAAUGUCCGGCGGCGAGAGGGAAAGAGCCCAGACCCACGUCCGAGGCCCCUAAGCCCAUGCUAAGUUGCGAGAACGAGGUGGCACCGCAGAGACAGCCAGGAUGUUAGCUUGGAAGCAGCUAUUCAUUCAAAGAGUGCGUAACAGCUCACUGGUCGAGCGGAGCCGCGUGGAUGAUGAACGGGCAUAAAGCAUGGCGCCGAAGACUGGGGCUGAUUCGUGAGAAUCAGCGGUAGGGGAGCAUUCCGGACAGCGGCGAAGGCGUCCCGGGAGGGAUUCUGGAGCGUCCGGAAAAGAAAAUGUAGGCAUGAGUAACGACAACGCGCGGGAGCAACGCGCGCACCGCAAGCCCAAGGUUUCCUGAACAACGUUAAUCGGAUCAGGGUAAGUCGGGGACUAAUCGGCACCCGAGAGGGGGACGAGAUGUAAAACCGGUCAAGAUUCCGGUACCCGCAUGCCGGGCCGAGCGCCGACCCGGGGAUGGAACUGCCGCCCACGGACGGAAUAGUGGGUUGAAGGCCGUAGGGGAUACCUGAAAGCCGACAGUACCGCGAGUCCACGGACGAGCGGACAGCGCAGGGAAAUGUACCGGCAAGAAAAGGCGCGAGGCGUUUAGAGGCAUGGGGCCCGUACCGUAAACCGACACAGGUGGGCGAGGAGAGUAUCCUGAGGUGCUCGAGUGAAUCACGGCCAAGGAACUAGGCAAAUUGACCCCGUAACUUAGGGAUAAGGGGACCCGGGAGACCGGGCGCAGAGAAAUGGCCCAGGCGACUGUUUACCAAAAACACAUGGCUAUGCGAAAUCGAAAGAUGACGAGUAUGGCCUGACACCUGCCCGGUGCCGGAAGGUUAAGAGG
Molecule: ribosomal RNA, 1842 nt
Filed under: Candidatus Cryptobacteroides faecavium
Lineage: Bacteria; Pseudomonadati; Bacteroidota; Bacteroidia; Bacteroidales
Description: partial 23S ribosomal RNA
Rfam family: Bacterial large subunit ribosomal RNA
Source: RNAcentral